GCGACUCUGUGUGUGCGCGUGCGUGCCUGUGUGUAUGCGUAUGUGUAUGUGUUUGUGUAUUUGUGUAUGUGUAUGUGUGUUUGUUUGUGUAUUUGUGUGUGUGUGUGUAUGUGUGUGUGUGUGUGCGUGUGUGUGUUAAGAAAUAGCGGAAGUUCUUGGAACACCCAGCAGGCAUGGGAUAUCAGCUAGAACUGCUUGUCUAUGUUGUGUCACCGGCAUACAUGCCUGCUUGCGUUUUGCCUGACUCUCGCCUUCAUAUAGUCUACUUACCGUGUUGGAUGGACGCUCAUUAUAACUUUUCAAAACAGAUACUAGCUUCAACACGCAGGACAAUUUUCUAAAGCUUCACGAAUAUAGCAGUAAUACAGAGUGCCAAACCAGGGAGUAAAAAUAUUAUACAUAUAUAUAUAUAUAUAAAUACAUUACUUUCACACCCGUAUGUACGAUAUAUAGAUAAAUAUAUUUUUAUAAAUUAUAUUUAUUUAUAUACCUGGCAGUGAGAAAGAACCUGAGUGAUAACUAACAAACGUAAAGUAAGUUGUUUUUGUUUUUUUUUUUGUAUACCUAAGUUUGAUGUUGAUUGUUACGUACAUAUAUAGUUUUCCUUCAAGCAUUUACGAAAUAGAAAAUCUCCAGUCCAUUGGCUUUGUAUUGAAUUGAUUUGUUAUCUGAGUUCUUGUGUGAAGUUUGUUUGUAAUUAUUAUACUUUAGCGGUACUUCUUCACGUUUAUUCCUCAACAGCAUUUAGGUUAGAAACGGCUCCAGUCCUUCAAGCACUACUAUAACGGUAUUUGCCUCGGAGCGAAUUCUGCUCGUGCCACCUUCCAGUAGACACUGCUCUCGCUCGUCUCCCUUCCUACUAUCUUCCGCGUGUCCACCCCAUACCCUAAUCUAAUUGCUACACCCAUUCUUUCCUCCUCGGACAUUUCAGAAUUCCCACCCUGUUCAGUUCUCUUCCACAAGUGUUCAUUUACAAAAUUUCAAAAAGAAUAUGAAUAUCAUUGGGAAGUAAACUGGUGUAGUAUGCCCCCUAAGGGCUGUGAGCCUUACCCUAUCCGCAAAACUAAGCUGUUUGUAUGUAAGUUAUUUGAUAUAAUACUCGGUGUGUUGAAUAUUCGACAAGUAUCACGUGAACUUACAGUUAGUGUCAGUUCCUAUUUCACUUGUAAUUUGAUUCGAAAUUUUGAUAUAAUCCUCGAUACCCGAAAAUAAGUUAUUUCCCCUCUUUUUCAUUUUCUGUCAUAGAGGUAUUCUACUUUGUCCGGUAUCCGGGUGUCUCACAUAUGAGAUCGUGAUGUUACUUCAAUCGAAGUAUUGCUCCAUCUCAGAAUAGAAACCCAUUACUGUUAAUUAGUUCCCUAUGAAGCCGGCGACUGGAGAUCGAAUUUGAACUCUAAAUGUAAAAUGUUGAAACUUUAAUGGCUAAGUGUCGCUUUUUGACACGUUGUACAUGUGUGACACUCCAUCAUCUACUACUACUAUUUUUUUUCUUAUCGACUUCCAAAAUGAGAAAAGUUAACCUAACAGAAUUUUAAAUUAGAUUACUGACUAUCGGGACACAUUUCACAUAACGUCGUAUCCGACUCUUUACCUACUCUGCCAAUUUAUUUGUUCUCCUGUAUGAAAGGGCAAAUUUUCAAUCAUGUCCUAAACGAAAGGAAUUUUACUUUAAACUCUUGAACUUUAACAAUUGCGUAAUGUGAAAAUCAUCGUAAUUGCAUUCUUGAACAGGUGAUUCUUUUAAUGUCGAAAGCGUCUACCAAUGAUCAAAAUUUUCCAUACAUGACCUCCUCGUGGUCAUUGUGUAAUUCAACAUGCUUUAUUCCCAAACUAUAUUAUUUGUAGUGGUUUCGAUUUAAUGUUUGGAAGUUUUUGCUGCUAUGUCUUGUAAGUCUCACACGCAGGCUAUUUCCCACUAGGUCAUGAUAACUGAUGCUAAUUCAUUUAGGAAGGAAUAUAAUUAAAUGUAUUUUAAUUUUCUAAAUUCAACUUGCUAAAUACUAAUUCUUUAUCUCAGUAAGUCUCUUUUACCUUUAUUUUAAAGUUGGAUAUUAAUCGAACAGGCAUCAACUUGCCGGCUGAAUAUGGAAUUCUAUUACCUAUAACUUUUUGCACCUGUUUCAUCAGGUAAAACUUGUAACUGCCAUUUCCUUGGGCUUCUGAGCAUGAACGUUAUUCUUCAUUAUCUCGUUUAACCUGGCUCUCCAGGAUAGGUGGGUAAUUAAGUUAGAAAAUUACAUGUGAUGAAUUGUUAUCCUGUCCACGAUUGAUUUUUUCCCUAAUACAUCAUGCCAUGAAGUAAAAACUAUAAUCUGAUUUUCAAAGAAACACUGAUGCUCACACUGAAUUUAUUUUCUUAUUGUGUUAUCACUUGCUUUACAUUCUCUUUAUCAAGUUUUGGAGAUCUUUAAGAUCAAGACACAUUUCCCAUUUGUGUUGCACUAUGUGGAUGAACAAAACCCUUCCCUUGCUAAUAUUAUUAAUCUACUGCAGGUAAAGUUGCCACACUUCUGCAAAUUAUUCGAGUCAUUUAAAUAGAGAACUAACGUAUUUUCUGCUUCGAAGCAUUACAUUUUGAUUCUAGAAGUUUCAAUUCUUGAAUAUUGAUAUUUCUUUAUAAUGCGAUACUUAGGGCAACUUAAGACCUAGACAAAUGUUAUGUGUAAAAUUAAACACAAAUACUCCCUAUUAAUUUCACUAUUAGGACAUUAUCGACUGCUUAGAUAUUUGCAAAUGAAAAACCGCAUCUUAUUUGUUUUUUUUUUAUAUGUUUAGAGCCAUGCCAGCCCUGCUCGGGCGUAUAUUUCUCUAAUGCUGUAUGUGGAUAGAUGCUGCGAUCGAACUGUGAUUAUAGCAUCUAUUUACACACAGUAAAACAAUGAAAUCAAAUUUCUAUCAUAUCAAAUUCAUAUCGUAUUACUAAAAUAACCCAAUUCAUGUUUACUUUCCUGACUCAAAUGGAUAGUAGUAAUGUAUAAUUUUUAAACGGAAUAAUUUUGAAUGCUGAAACGAUAUUUGAUUCAUAUAUGACUGAUAUUGCUAGCACGUCAGGUAAACAUUCAUUUGCGUCUUCUGAAGAUUUACCUGUGAAUUAUGCAUAUUACCUCCUCCAUUCCAUCCUUAUUUUCAGCAGCCACAAUAUCACCAAAUCGUUAUCAGUUCAUUGAACUCCUCGUUGUUAUGAUUCCUUCUCUGUUUGUUGAUCUGAGUAUAUAUUAGCUAUAUAUUGUUAGUGUAUCCAAAGGCUGAGCUUCACUUGGACUGCUGUAGAAUAAAAGCCCAUUACUGCAGCUUUUAAUUUACGCAAAACAUUUUUUGUUAGUUUGAACUAUUUAAUAAUUAGAUUUGAAAUCAUAAUAUUUAUCCUCUAUUUAACAUUCAAAUAUACGAAUUUGUUUUGCCUAUAUUAUAACAUAUUUAAAAAUGUAGGGAGUUGGCAGAACCGUAGGCACGCCGGGGCAUUUCGUCUAUCUUUUGUUCAAAUUCCACUGAAGUAGAUUUACCUUUCAUCGUUUAAGGGUCGAUCAAAUAAGCACCAGUUGAGCAUUGGGGUUAAUGUAAUCGGCUUAUCGAAAUAUCUGGCUUUGUGCCAAACUUUGAAAUCGAUAUAACAUACUUAAAUAGAAAUGAUUUAAAAUAUUUUCCAACAAGAAAAGAUUAUUCUUUGUCACACAUAUGAAUUUUUUCUGAUGUAAUUUAACCAGUUAAACACUAAUUUUGUUCAAAAGUUUAAGAUGAGAAUUAAGACCAAACUAUUUUGUUUUUCAUUUUUUGAUAUGAACCGUUAUUCUCACCAUAGGGAUAGUAAUGGUAGAAAUGAAAUUCUUCUACAUCAUAAUUUUCAAUCAUUCAUCAACGGAACAUCGAGGCGUCUUUGAGAUUUCAUUACUAUAUCGGAAAACGCCGCGUCCUCCUCUUUUGAGCUUUUCUCAAUUUCUGAAGAAAAUAACACUGCGUUUCUUCAGCCUAUUUAUCUCUCACAUGAUGAACAAACUGAGAGAUGGAGAAGAGGUGAGAGAGAAGAUAUGAUAAUCAAUGAACAAAUUUAUAAUGAUAAAUAUCUAAUAAUAAAUUAUCAGAAAUAUAAGUUGAUUUUUUUUGUAAAUCCUUCUUAAAGUUUUACUGUUUCGCACUCCAAUGCAGAUAUUAGUUCGAAAUUAAAAAUACUCUUUUUUUCACGCCACAGAAAUGUAUCCAAGUUCACACACACAAAAAUUAUAAUAAACAAUUAUGUUGACUGAUACCGUUUCCCUCGGUCUCUGUUGUUUAUACUUUUGAACUAUGUUUUCAAAUUCGUAUUGUAAAAAAAAUAUGAAUUUCAACGCAGUAAUAUUUCCCCAGACUAUUGUCUUCAACCUUAUAUCUGUUGUGAGAAAAGAAUGAAACCAAGCUUCCAAACCCAUGUUCAUAAGAUAUAUAUCACAUUGUCUUUUUAAUUUUAAUUGUUGCAGCAACCGCAUUGUUGCUGUAAGCUUUCCUUGCACAACUGGGUUUUGCUGUAUGAUAUGCGUGCAAUCAGUGAUUUGUUUCUAUUCAAUGCUCAUUCAUUAAGCAUGUUUUUAUAGGCACUGUUUCUGCUUAUAAUCGGCAAGUUCUAGUUAACUUCAUUUACAGUUAUUUAUACUUAAAUAGUUUCUCACUCUCACCCCGCAAUCUUUGCACUUGCGCGCGUGCACGCGUCCGCUUUCCGGACGAAUAGAUGGAUAGACAGAUAGACAGACAGAUAGAUAGAUAGGUAGAUAAAUAGAUAGAUAGAUAGAUAGAUAGAUAUACAUUAAUCAUUCACUGAGAAAGGUCUGUGGUGAGAGUUAUCAAACAUGUUGGUGUUAUUGAGGACCGUCUAAGCAAUCUCUUCUUCACGGUUUUAUAACGAAAAAUAUAAAGAAAUUUCAAAUUGGUGUAGGAGUACAACAGAGGGAGAAUGGAGCAUUACCAGGUCGUUAUGAAAGUUAGCAACAGAUUAGCACCUCUUAGAGCAUUUAUUCCGAAAUGAAAAUACCAUUCUUUGCGGAAGCAGCUCAGAGUUCAGUCAAGUUUACUCAAAGAUGUAAUGUUCAAUGAUUGUGAUCAUUUAAUGAAAAGGUUGGUGCAAUGUUAGCCGACGCUGUCAAACAAAGGAUCGUCAGCUGUGACAACAGAUUUCGUAAGGUGGACAUAACUGUAGAAGAUAAAAUAUAACCGUAUCACUGAUGCCGUCUUAUUAUAUUCCGAACAUUGGUAAGAGGGUUACAUAGAUGCACUUUUUUGUACACUGUCGUAGCUAAAUGAGCUGAGAUGAAAUGAAAGAAUGAUCCACAGUUUAGGAACUUCUCUGAUCUGCCACCAGUGGUUGUUGCAAUUAUUUUUCUUUUUAACAUUUCUAUAUGUUCUAAUCUUUGUAUUUAUCUUAUACCCUUAAAGUAACUAAAAUAUUAUAUUUAUAAUUAUUAUUAUUAUUAUUAUUAUUAUUAUUAUUAUUAUUACUCACUAGUACUAUUUUUAUCACGUACGUUUACUGCACUACAGAACGCAACUCUGUGUGCCUUGGGUAUGUGCUGUGAUUUGUUGUGGUUCUCGUAUUUUCACUGUCUUGAAAGUGUUUUACGAAGGAUUGUGUGGUGCCUAGUAGUGCUAUUUUGUGUAUGUUAUAUAUACUUGUAAGUCCUGGUGUUUUUGUUAUGUAUUUCUCUGACUGAUUUUUUAUCAUACCUAAUAAUACCAUAAUAGGAUGAGAAUUGUUUGUUUUUAGGUCCCACAUUCGAUUUACCUCUGUUUCCAGAUCAUUGUAUUUUGAAAGUUUCUCCGUUUUUCAGAGAAACAUUGUCACCUGUUGGUAUUGAUACAUGGAUUACAAAGCAAUUUUUUCUUGGUUAUCUCUAACAACUAUAUCCAGCCUAUUAUUAUUAUUAUUAUGGCUGACGGUUAGUAAGGAGAGACACAAAUAAGAAAGAAGAAAACAAAGGACCACUGAUGCGGUCACAGGAGUGUGACGAAAGAACUCUGGCCAAAAUAAGAUUAAGAUUAAUGUAAAAAAUAAAUAACACUGAAGCAAAAUAACACCAAAUAUAUAGUGCGUGUGUUUUUAUUGGCUAUACUGGCAAUAUGACCAUUUCCGAAAUAUAACAAUAUCUGUUUCGACACACGACCUCACAUAAAAAAUAUUGCACAACAAAUAUUAAACGUAUUAUUAUUAUUAUUAUUAUUAUUAUUAUCAGAAGUUGUAGUAGUCUCAUUAUUAUCAUUAUUAUUGUUGUUGUUGCUGUUAUUCAAAGUCUUUCAUUGUUUCGGGGUCAAUAAAUUUCCAGUGAAACACAGGGGUGGAUGUAAUCGCCUAGACCCUCCUCCGAAUUUCAGGCCUUGUGCCUAUAGUAGAACGGAUUAUGGUUAUUAUUAUUUAUUAUCUUUGCACAGCGUCUAACGCUUGAGAUGUGAUACGGUGUCUCCUGUUCACUACGUGUGAAAUAAGGUAGCACCCCUUUGAGCGCCAUCUGGAGUAUUCGAGCGGUUACAAGGAGUGCUGUUUCCUGCAAGCGCUCCACCCUUAUUGCAGCCCCUAUUUGUCCCAUGUACCUUAUUAUUAUUAUUAUUAUUAUUUACUUUUGAUCUACACAUUUGUUACAGUCACUCUUCGAGACACACCCAGCGUCCUGGGGUGAGUGAAGGGUAAGAGAUGUUAUACUAUGACCGAAAGUUUAGGGAGGAAGUGUAGCGAAAUAUCUUCAUAGAAUACCACACAAACAUUGAAAUGGAUAGAGUAUUUUUAAUGAUAUGGGCGGUACUUGUCAUUACAAUUUUUUGGAUUUCUCUGACAUAUGGUUCUCCUGGAAUAUUAAUUAAAUGUUUCUGUCAUUCCUUUUUUUAUCAUAUCUAGGGCACCUAAAAUAACUAAAACACUUCUCGCUUUAAGAUGCCAACUAUUUUGUAUUUCAAGUUCCAGGUCCUUAUAUUUAUUCAGUUUGUCAAAUUACUUUACACAAGUAUUUUUAUCGCUGGGAACACUUUCGUUUAUUUGCCUAUAAGAAUUUUCUUCCUUGUCUUUAAUAAUUAUGUCUCGUCGAUUAGCCUGGAUCAGUCUGUCAGUGUUGACUGGAAAAUCCCAGAGAAUAGUGACAUUUUUGCUUUCAACAGCUGACUCAGGCUGAUGUUCAUACCAUUAAGCAGGAGUGCUGAUUUUGUUGUCUUUACAUAUUUUCCAAUCUAAAUACUCUCCUACCCUAUCGUGGAGAUUUUGUAUUCAUUUGGAUCAGCACAAGACAUCCUGAGACAAGAUGGUCUAUUGCUUCGUUAUAUGUGUUGCAGAAUCUGCAUUUAGGUUAAUAACCAUUUUGAAGAGCGUUAGGCGGGUAGUUUUUGGUGAGCAAGCUUUGAUUUUGUGCCGCCAAUAUAAAACCUUCGGUCUCUGCUUUCAGUCCUCAACUUCUCAGCGACUGAUGUGUCGUUGCCUGAUUUACAUCAGAAUUUUGACUUCCAAGUAAAUACUGUUCAUACUGAGGUUUCUGGUUCCACUGCUUCUCAAUUUGUUUCUUCCCGUUCAUUUUUGUAGUCUGCUUGAUCCAUUUCGCUUGGUUUGUGGAAGUGGUUUCAGGUUUUCAACUAUUUCAGGGUUCCCUUGCGAAUUUGCAAGCUUCUUUGACAAUAGAAUGUGAUAUUUUGCUGCUUUCGUGUUUGCUACCAUGUCGCAGCCUCCACAAUUUUUACGUUCUAGGAUCAAAUUCCACCGAGGUCGAUUUUGCGGUUCAUUCGUUCGGGAUCCAUAAAAUAAGUACUAAUUGAGUACUGGGGUCGAUGUAAUCGACAAUGCCCCUUCCCCAAAUUUCAGGCCGUGUGCUUAUAAUAUAAAUUAUUAUAAUUUUCUUCUUGCCUUUUUUCAAGUUUGUUUCCAUUUCUUGUUGAAUAACUUCUCAAAACUUUGGGCAAAGAAACACACAACAUACAUUGGUAGGCCAUAAAAAAACAUGCCAAAUUGUUCAUUUAUAAUAUAUAAUUAUUAUUAUUAAGGUACCAAACUAGCAGAAUCUCUACCACGCGGAGCAAGAUGCUUUGCGAAUUUCAUCCGUCUUUACAUUAUAAGUUCAAUUCCGCCGAUGUUGACUUUGUCUUUCAUAAUUUUGGGGUCGACAGAAUAAGUACAUUUGAGCACAGGGGUCAAUGCACCCGACCUACCACCCACCCCACCGCCAAAGAAAUUGCUAGCCUUGUGCCAGAAUUUGAAACCAUUAUUGUUAUUAUUAUUAUUAAUAUUAUUAUUAUUAUUAUUAUUAUUAUUAUUAAGAAGAAGAAGAAGGGGAGGAAUGGGUUGGUUGAUUGCAUCAACCCUAGAAAGGGAAACUAAAGUCAACUCUGGCGGAAUGUGGGCUCAGAAAAUAAGGACGCAUGAUAUACCGCUAAGCAUUUUGCCUUAAGUGCUAACGAUUCUGCAAGGUCAGCGCCAUAAUAAUAAUAAUAAUAAUAAUAAUAAUAGUAAUAAUAAUAAUAAGAGGUACCAAGGAUCAACUCCUAAUAGAUAAAACUGUACUCAGAGACUGCAAGAGGAGGAAAAAUAACUUAGCCAUGUCAUGGAUCGACGAUCGUAAGGCGUACGAUAUUAUCCCACAUUCUUGGAUUAUGGAAUGUAUGAACCUAAUUGGGAUUGCAUCGAAUGUUGAACGAUUGCUUGGAAAAAGUAUGGCGAAAUGGAGGAGGGACCUGACAGCAUACGGAAGAAGUUUAGGGACAGUAGAUAUUAGGAGGGGCAUCUUCCAAGAGGAUUGCCUGUCCCUACUGAUUUUUGUACUGUGCUUGAUACCACUCACACUGUUUCUCAGGAAAGCAAAUGUUCGUUAUGUAUUCAAAAGCCGCCAACAAAAUGUCGACCAUUUGUUAUUCAUGGAUGACCUCAAACUUCAUGGUAAAGAUGAAACCCAAGUCAGUUCCCUCGUUGAUACGGUGUGUGCGUUCAAUGCUGAUAUCAGAAUGGAUUUCAGACUGAGAAAGUGUGUUGUGUUAAUCUUGAAGAGAAGCAACAUAACUGUAUGGACGGAGUAGCGAUACCGUCGGGGGAGGUUAUGAAGCAGAUAGAAGAAACGGGAUAUAAGUACUUGGGGAUUUAGGAAAUGGAUAAAUUAAUGGAGAAAGAAAUGAGAGAAAAAUUUAAGGUGGGAUACUUCCGUAGACUGAGACUGAUCCUUAAAUUGAAAUUAAAUGGACGGAAUAAGAUCGAAGUUAUCAAUACCUGGGCGGUUCCACUCCUUAGAUAUGGAGCAGGGGUAAUCACAUGGACAGUAGAUGAACUAAACAGCUUAGACAGAGAGACAAGGAAGUUGCUAACUAGAUAUGGUUCACUCCACCUAAAAAGUGACACAGGGAGACUGUAUAUACCAAGAAAAAGAGGUGGAAGAGGACUUAUCGGGUGCGAACACAGCAUUGGAGCAGAAGAAAACAACGUAGUAUGGUAUGUAAAAAAAGACAGACAGAAAAACAAGAUGGCUGUGGAUAAAUAAAAGUGAUUUAAAACCGGAAACAUAUGCUCUAAUAUGUUCUGCUCAAGAGCAAGCACUAAGAACUAACUACAUAAAAUACAGACUAGACAACACACCAGAAAGAGAUAAGUGCAGAAUCUGUGGACAAAAUGGUGAGACCGUAUGGUAUAUUACCAGCAAAUGUACGCCACUAGUCGAGAAGGAAUAUAAGAGACGCCACGACGAUACAGCCAGGCUAGUCCAUUGGACACUUUACAACAAUUAUGGACUUGACAGUGAAAGAAUUUGGUUCGACCGCAAACCUGAAGGCAUUGUUGAAAAUGGAAAUGCAAUGAUCCUAUGGGGUUUUAUGAUUCAGUGCGACCGUGAUAUUGAGAAUAGGAAGCCCGACAUUGUCUUAAUUGAGAAAGAAAACAAACUAUGCUGGCUCAUAAAUAUAGCAUGCCCAGCUGGCAACAAGUUAUGCGUUAAGGAAGUAUGAAAAAUCGAGAUGUAUGACACGUUAGCUUGGGAAUUUAAACAGUUGUGGUCGAUGAAAAGGGUAGCAGUAGUAUCAAUGAUUUUCGGAGCCCUGGGAACAGUGAGCAAAAAUCUCGAGAUGUACAUGGAACAAAUAGAGGCUGCAUUAAGGGUGGAGCCCUUGCAGAAAGCAGCACUGCUUGGAACCGCUCAAAUACUCGGAAGGUGCUCGGGAAAUGAGAGGUGUUACCUUAGUUAACUGGUAGUGAACAGCUGACACUGUAGUACACAUUCGUCGUUAGAAGGCAACUAUGAUAAUAAUGAUGAGAAUAAUAGUAAGGAAUAUUAUUUCAUUAAUUUAUGCGUGUCUCUACUACAGAAUCAGAUUUCUGAAGGUAGUGAUUUUUAUUAACAUACAUUGUAUGAUACAUGUGUUGCAUUGCUGAUUAUAUUGGCUUCUUGUUUCUCUAAUAUUUAAUCUAUUUGUUAUGUAGACGAUGGUCUUUGAGAGUUUUGUUAUUAUAUUACGACGUGAUUGCUCUUUGGUUUUGUUUGCUUCUGUGUUGCCAGCAAAAGUACGUGAUUAGUGUAGCAUGAAGAAAACAACCAACUUUUCUUUAUAUGUAAUGAGACCAACUACAAAUUAGCAGCUGACUAUACUGGAUCAGGAUUUGAAUGAGCCUUAUGGUGGAUGCCGAUAUGGCUUAUUUUACAGAAUACUUGUAGUGUUGUGUUCCUGGUAUAUAUCUGUACGUAUGAGUUCAAACUUUCCUUUCUCACACUUUCUGCUCUUUAUUUUUGUCUUUCAUUUAGCAUACACAUGCUUUUCAUCCAUUUCAAACGACUGUGUUUCUAUAAUUUCCGAACUUUCCUCCAGGUGAUAUUUUUGUCUGUUCACAGAGAAAUGUAUCGUAUUUGGAACGUACAUAUUCAGUGCCUUCACUUUAAUUGAAAGUUUUGGAGUACUGCUAACUUGAUGUAUUGGGCAUUGCUUAUGUUUGUAGAUGUCUUUGGAUUUGCCAGAAAUUAUGCGUUCAGUUGUCUUGUAUUUUGUCUUUAUAAAUAACUGUUUUCUAGUCACAUAUUUAUCAUGUACAACCAAAAUUACAUAUCCAUUUUUGUCUUUAUAUCAGUAUUUCUGAGCAAUUACUGGCUUAAACAUUUACUUGCUCCCACGGUAUCGUGUACUGGAGGAUUUUGGCCUCGUAAAUUGUUUUCAUCGCGAUUUCCUUGUUUACAUACAUUUUUCUACAUUCUUCAUAUUUUUUCUUCAAUAUUACUAGCUUCCAAUUUCUAGUUGGUCUCACUGUAUAUAUGGAAACGUUGUUUGUUUCCUUGAUGCUACACUAGUCACUUUUUUUGUUGGCUCCUAAAUAAUAUUUAUUGGAACAGUCGUUGAUUCGCAGUAUUUGUUUUUAUUUGCCUCCAGUUCCAUACUUUAUGAGUGUGGAGCUGAUGUAUCCCAUUAGUGUCAGCUUAGUGCUAUGGUUUUAGAUUAUAUUUGGGAGUAUCUUAUGCUUUCCUCUACGAUCUCCAAUUUAAUUGUUGAUACAAUAAUUUAUAAAAGAGAUGAUUUGCACAUUUUUACCUAUUACCAUACUGUUAAUAAUAGUUCCAAAUUUUGGCAGAGGAACAGUAAUUUCGACUCCAAAAAAAUGAAAUGCAAAGUCAAACUCGGCGUGAUUUGAACUCAGAACGUAAAGACGGAAAUGAUGCAAAGCAUUUUAGACGCCAUACUAACGAUUUUGCUGGCUGCUUUGAUAAAACUGUUAAUAUUGAUUUUCAGUUUUUGAAAUUUGUCUGAAGUUUCUGAAAAAAUGUUUAAUAUCGUUCUCUUUUAUUUAUGUGUGAUUAAUCUCAUCAGUCUCACCUAUUAAGCUUAUGUGUUCCUGGCUCUGUUCUAAUUUUCUGUUCUCAGAGACUGGAUAUAAUAUAAUGUUCUCAAUUAUGGUAAUUUACUCAUUUUUAUAACAGCUUUGGCAAAUUUCCUAAUCCCAUACUCAAUCCUAGGUAAUGGAGCUAUUUGUAAUCAAAUGUUGGUAGAUUUCCUAGAUGGACAUUAUUCCUUGUAAACAGUAUGUAUUUCAGAGAGGAUAUGGUUUCGAAUCUGUCUCUAAAAUUUACAAUAGUUGUUAGGAUUCUUCAUUACUAGUUGUAAUAUUCUUCAUAUAUGCAUAAGGCAAUUUCUCGCUUACGUUAUUUUGGUUGUAUUUAUACAUAUAUGCACAAAUAAUACAUGCAUAGACACAAGCAAACACACACACACACACACACAUACACACACACACACAUAUAUUGUUUACAAAAUGAAAUUACAUGCUUGAUGCAUUUUCUUGCAUUAUUUAUAGCUAGACUCUCAAGUAUCGAAAACUUUCCUAUACCAUUAAAUUAUUUUUGAUAAAUUUUGUAUGCCAUAAUAAUGGUUAUCUUGAUUGCCCGCGUCACUAGUAGCUCCUCCUUCAGUAUAUACAUCUCUUUUCCAGUACCGUUUCUGUUCCUUUAUGAAAGUGAGAUUUCUAUCGACAUUGACAUCCAAUCUGAUUUAGAUUUACAAUAUUAGGGGAAUUUUGGUUAUUAACAAAAAUCUUUAGGUUUAUACAUUUCUAUAUCUCCUGUAUUGUUGCUUCCAGGAACAACAAUUUCCCCGCGCAGCAGCAAUGAUUCUUUUGUAGUGUUGAUCGGUUUAUUCACUGAUUGCUGCCAGCAUAAAUUAAUGAAUACUGCUUUGAUGUUUCUGCUAAAAAUUGGGUUAUUUGUUCAACCUACGGUUAUGCAGCUUUUAAAAUGUUGCGAUGUUCUGUGCUGGAUGCGUUUAAUCAGAUUCGUAUCACUAUUGUAUAUUUUAUAGUGUUGAUCGGUAUACAUGUAUAUAUAUAUAUAUAUAUAUAUAUAUAUAUAUACUUACAUACAUAUAUAUAUGUACUUGUGUGUUUGUGUUGGUUCCCCCACAACCGAUAUUGACAACCGAUAUUGGUGCGUUUAAGUCCCAGUAUCCUAGCAGUUCAACAAAUUAGACCGAUAGAACUAACAGUGCUAGCAAAUUCAAAUAUGCAAGCGAAGAAUUUCUGCUCUCCCCUUUCCACCAGCGUGGGCUAAAAUCAGUGUUUUCAAAUCCAAACCAGGCAGUUCUGAGCUGAUGAUAGAAGUGUCGAUUUUGACUAAUCUUGAAACGUACGUUCUCAAAUAACCUUUGCAUUUGAUUUUUUAAUGUCUCUACCCACAUACUUUCGUGAGUUGAAUUGAGCAAACACUAUAUGAGAGAGGUUUUCUUUAAGUAUUGGAGAUAGUUUUUAAAAAAGUUUUUUUAGCUGCUAUUUCUAAUGAGUUCAGUAUGCGGCAAAGUAAUUUAUUUUACUAAGCCCUUUUAUAUAAUGUAAUAAUUUGAAUUCGCCUUAAAUGGUCCCUUUGUAUACUGAAUACUUGGUGAAAUUGAUUAAUUAAUUAAUUUUACCCUCAAUUGUUGAAAUAUAUAUAUAUAUAUAUAUAUAUAUAUAUAUAUAUAUAUAUAUAUAUAUAUAUAUGUAUAUAUAUAUGUUAAUAAUAUCAAAGGGUAAUUAGAAAUAUCUGAAAUUUCCUUACCAGUAUCCUACCGUGUAAAGGUUUAGUCAAUAGACUAUAUAUUAUCCAUGCAAAUACAGUGUAUAUUUAAACAUACAAGAGGCAUCUAUCAUAGGGUUCCUUGAAAGAUAAAGACCAGAGUUAAAUUCCAAACCACUAUUAGGAAUAAAUUUUCGGAGGGAAUAUGGUAAAUGUUUUUAUUUUUCACUCCCUUCGAAAUUUUAUCUCUAAUAGUCGUUUGGAAUUUGACUGUACUUUCGAGCGUGUAAUUGCAUAUAUAUAUAUAUAUAUAUAUAUAUGCUUGGAUUUAAUCCUAAAUCUGAUUUUUUCCCUGUAAAUUUGGAUUUAUUCCCUAAUAUUUAUUAUGCUUAUAUAUAUAUAUAUAUAUAUAUAUAUAUAUAUACCAAUUAAGGACUGAACACGAGAAGUGGACAGACAACAUGCUAGAUAUGUGAUGAGUUUGAUUUGGGAACAUAAUCUUUUGUGGAGAAUGGCGAUUUGACGUCUAUAUCUAGCAUGUUGAAUGUCCACUUUUCGUGUUCAGUCCUUAAUUGGUAUAUAUAUAUACUUAAUCUUCGAAUUCUUUUUUUAAUAUGCUAGACCACUGGUUUUAAUUGAUAAAUAUUGAUUUCUACCCUUAAUUAAUUUUAUUAUAUAUAUAUAUCUAUAUAUCUAUAUCUAUAUACAUACAUGCAUACAUAUAUAUAUAUACAUGUAUAUAUAUAUAUAUAUAUAUAUAUAUAUAUAUAUAUAUAUAUAUAUAUAUAUACGAGAUGCUAAUGCUGUGUGGGCCAAAUCCUCUUGAUGGUAAGUGACGCCAGCCCUCUGGCGCAUACGUGUACAGUUUUGCCCUGCUAGGCCGCGUCAGUUCCCAGAUGUUAUGCGCGGAGUACAGUCGUAAUUCCCGCCUUCCAACAAGUCGAUCGAAAGCAUCGAACAGAGAUAUUCCAUCAAAUUUUGCACAAAACGUGGUUGUACUCAAGCUCAAACAAUCCAUAAAAUAUUAAGCUUGAAACCGCUUGAAAUAUAGACGUACAUCAGUGGUUAGCUUGGCAAAUACUCAUAGAAUACCUUCGUCUAACGACUCGUAAAAUAAGAAAAUAAGGGAAGGAUCAGGGCAUUCGAUUUUUAACGUAGAAUUUGUGCAAUCUGAGAGUGCCGGCGAUACUGAUCCCCAUGUUCCUAGCAAAGCAGCAGAAGCAACUUAAUAUUGAAAUCUUGCUGGACUUUACAAAUAACGAACCACACUACACGAAGACAAUCAUCCCUUGUGAUGAGAAAUAGGUCUAUGGUUGCGACCAGGAAAGUAACUUCCAGCCCUCCUAAUAGAAGCAUCAGAUAUCAUCAAAGCCAAAAAGUGCACUAUAAGUUCGCAGGAAUGUGAAGGCAAAUUUCACCUUUUUAUUUGGGGCCCGUGAUUUUGAGCAUCAGGAAUACGUACCACUAACCCAAACAUUCAAGAAGGAAUAUUACCUGUAGAUUAUACGACGCUUUCGUGAUGCAGCGUGUGUAUUUGUGUCUGUGUUUGUUUUGUGUGUGUGUGUGUGUGUGUGUGUGUGUGUGUAUGUGUGUGUGUGUGUGUGUGUGUGAAGUGAAAUGAGUUAAGAAUCCAGGUAGAUAUCUAUAUAGCACUUUGAGUUAAAAAUGAGCUUUUACAUAUACAUUUGUAGUCAGAAAGAAAUACUGUCACUUUUGUUGUGGAUGACAGCGUUUAAACGGUCGAUACACAACUCUAUAUUCUAUAUGUAUGUGAUAGUGCAAUGGAAUGUGCAACGGAAGACGAAUCACAUAGAGAUGGAGGGAAAAUACAGGGGGAGGUAUUGUGUGAUAAUUAUAUUAUGGUGAGUGUUUAUGCUGGGCGUGGGAAAUUUUUUUUACUGCUGAUAAUAUAUCAAACGGACUGAAAACGUUUUCUACUUGGAGGGAACAAACAAGGCGACUAAAUAUAUUUUUGCCGUUGGGAAGAUAAAAGAAAUUUCACGAAGACCGCCGUGUGGGGACUACUUCAGAAUAAUCAUUUUCCUGCUGAGCAAAGACUCCAGUAUCUAGUUCUGAUAAAUAAUACCUUAACUGUUCAAGUAAUCUCCAAAUUUGCGGUAUUUUUUCAAUAGCAAAAUGCCUCCUACCAAUACUGAGAAAAAUUCCCACCAUGUUUGACACCUCUGACAUAUAUUGGUGGAUUAAUUAGAAAGUGGGGAUAACUUCUCCUUUAAAUUUCUGAAAUCUAAAAUAUAUUUCAGACUGAGGCAAGGAAUCUGAAAACAUGAGCUUGGUUCCUAUUGCGGCCAUAGCGAAUGUUGUCGUUCGCGCCCACAAGAAUGCCGGCAACAGUCAUUAUGUAGAGCAAAAGCAGUUGAAGGUACUCUACUAAGUGUUUUCCUCAUUUCAAGUACAUAGAAGAAAAAAUAUAAUAUUCAUUUUAAACGUGAACCAAAGCUGUUGAAUUUUACUAACAGACUCGUAAAUAUUUGGCUGCUGUUAUAUUAAAUUAAUAGCAAUUUUAAACAGACACAAAAGCACACACAUACAUACUCAUGUAUGUGUGGCACUCCGUCGGUUACGACAAUGAGGGUUCCGGUUGAUCCGAAUCAACGGAACAGCCUGCUCGUGAAAUUAACGUGUAAGUGGCUGAGCACUCCACAGACACGUGUACCCGUAACGUAGUUCUGGGGGAUAUUCAGCGUGACACAGAGAGUGACAAGGCCGGCCCUUUGAAAUAUAGGUACAGCAGAAACAGGAAGUAAGAGUGAGAGAAAGUUGUGGUGAAAGAGUACAGCAGGGAUCACUACCAUCCCCUGCCGGAGCCUCGUGGAGCUUUAGGUGUUUUCGCUUAAUAAACACUCACAACGCCCGGUCUGGGUAUCGAAACCACGAUCCUAUGACCGCGAGUCCGCUGCCCUAAUCACUGGGCCAUUGCGCCUCAUGUAUGUGUACACCCAUCCACACAUCCACGCAUUUUAUUUGUGGGUUAGUAAUUUCUAAAGUCGGUUUCAUGACGAGAAUCCUCGGCCACUAUCAAGCUCGUCACAUGGGUCAUUGGUAUUCGUUUCCAUUUGAACGAGAAUACACCGAAGCUACACAAGCGUAUGCGGAUUUUUGGUACAAACAAAUAAAUAUACAGAUCAGGGGAAAUAAUUGAUAAUUGAUAUCUGCAUUAGCUAGCUAUCUUCGAAGUUAUGAAUAUGUGUAACUAUGAAUAUGAAUAUACACGUAUAUACACGUAUAUGCACGCAGGCACCAGUGCAGAAUAUCCAUACAGAAUAUGUGCACACACACGCACACACAAAACAAACACUGACACAAAUACACACACACACAUAAAUAUAUGUGUAUGCCUGUCUGUGUUAGUGUAUGUGUGUGUGUGUGUGUGAUAUAAAUAAGUAUAGAUAUGCAUAUAUGUAUAUGUAUGUCAGUGUAUAUAUACAUAUUCACACAAACGUAUGCAAGUGUGCGUGCGUGUUUUUGAUUGUGUAUGUGCCUUUGUAUAAUUGUAUUGAACGCGUACCUGCAUUCUCAAACUUGAAAUGACCUCCACUGGAGCGAAUUUCCCCUUCCGACAGUUAUUUAGAAAAACACACCACUUGGUUAUGGAUCUCGUCAUUGGACCAUAGAAGACGUAGUGCGCAGCCUAUUAAAUACUGCAGCUUUUGAUAUUCAAACAGCAUUUGACACAUUUGUUGAUGAAUGCUAAACUUUGUAGGGUUUCAAUUAAUUAAAUAGACACGCAUUAAGCAACAAUGAAUGAUUUAGAGAAUUGCACAAUUAUGCACGCCUAUACUGAAUGGCUGCGAUCGAAGGAUACUGUGUCCGUAUUCAUUAAAGCGUAAAGACGCAGCAACAUGCAUCCUGUGAUGCGGUGAUGUCAUUGAUAACCCAGCGUUGGGAUUUUACUGCAAAUUAUAUAUUGUAAGAAUGUCUCCACAAAGAACGUUUUCGCUGCCGAAUCCUUUCCACAUUUGAGUUUACACGUCUUGAAUAUAAUUAUAUAUACCUAUGGUUCUAUCAACAAUGCUUCAUUAGCAUCUAAUUAAUUACUUCCAGCUUCACAAGUUUUUGAAAGAAACAACAGACGUUUUAUUUACAGCUUAGGUUCAUUUCAUAUCAUAUGCAAACUAUCCUGAACGUAUAAGGUUUUCUUUGUUUGAGGGUAUAUUAUACCACAAUAUCUAUCUAUCUUUCUAUCUAUCUAUCUAUCUAUCUAUCUAUCUAUCUAUCUAUCUAUCUAUCUAUCUAUCUAUCUAUCUAUCUAUCUAUCUAUCUAUCUAUCUUUCUUUCUAUCUAUACAUAUAUAUAUAUAUAUACAUACAUACAUACAUACAUAUAUAAUAUUACCUGUGCGUCUGCACACACACGCAUGUGUAUAUGUAUAUAUAUAUAUAUAUAUAUAUAUAUAUAUAUAUAGAGAGAGAGAGAGAGAGAGAGAGAGAGAGAGAGAGAAAGCAGGAAAAGAAACACGUCACGUGAGGAAAAGGAAUAUGGUCGAUGAUCACGCGUGAGCAACGUGAAAGAGAGUGAGAGAAAAAAAGGGGAGAAAGACAGAUAGAAUACGGUGACGGAGGGAAGGAUAGAAAAAGAGAAUUAGAAAAGGAUGGAGGAAGAAAACAGUAUAGGGUAGAGAGUGGCAUGAAAAAGGUGCCACUCUCUACCCUAUACUGUUUUCUUCCUCCAUCCUUUUCUAAUUCUCUUUUCUAUCCUUCCCUCCUUCGACGUAUUCUAUCUGUCUUUCUCCCCCUUCUUUUUCUCUCACCCUCUUUCACGUUGCUCACGAGUGACCAUCGUCCAUCUUUCUUUUCCUCACGUGACUAUCUUUCUUUUCCUCCACGGACGUGUUUCUCUCUAUCUCUCUCACUAUCUUCUAUCUUUUUUCUUAAGAAGGGAAAAAAUCAUUUCUGCCAGUGUUCACUAUUUUCCUGUCGUUUUGGUCUAACGACCCUCCAUGUUUGUUUUCGUGCGGUUUCCACUGUCAUGUUUUUGUUCCCAAAUAUUACCCUCUAUUUAUGGAAGCGACUGUCUUUGAAAACUCUUAUUGUCGUGGAAUGCUCGAAAUAAGGAGCAGAUAGACAACCGACAACUAAUGUGUUAACUUGUCCUAUUUUCCGUUUUUUCUUCGUUGUUUACUUUUUUCAUGUUACUUGCACCGUUGGUGAUGUCCUGUACCCAUAUAUAUGCAUAUAUGGUAGUCUUAAUACACAAAUACAGAAAUUCCAUCCAAUGCGGUGUUGAGCACUCAUGUUGUGUGUGUGUGUGUGUGUGUUUUAGCUUCAAAUUUUGGCACUCAGACACCAAGUUUAAGGCGGUGGGAAAAGUCGAUUAAAUCAAUCCCACUGACUAAUUGAUAAUAUUUUAUCGAACAUGAAUUGAAUAAGAUUAUAUGAGACUUUAUAAAUCAUUUCCCCCAUUAUGUUUAAAUUUUGCUAAACAGUUAAGGGAUUGAAACUUGCGUGGAAAUUAUUUAUCUUGAAACUCAAAUAAUUGCAAACUAGUACAUCGGCCCAACCUAAACAAUAUAUAUCUAUGUAAAGAAAUACAUUAUUUUUAUUAAACAUCAAAAAAUAUUGCCAUUAUUAUUUUAUUAGCACGCACAAUUUCCCCAUUCACUCUUAAUCGCAUAGAAAUGCACUCACGCAUAUUCAUCAUCGAGAUAUAUAGUGGCAUACUCAAACUCACUCAUAAUCACAUAUAUGCAUAUGCUUAAGUGCGAUUUUAUAUACAUCUAUGUAUACUUACAGACACAUAUAUAUAUAUAUGUAUAUAUGUAUGGUGCAUGUAUACAUGUAUGUAUGUAAAUAUAUAUGUCUGUAUAAAGGUACGUAAGUAUGUAUGUACAUAUAUUUACGUAGAAUAUGAAUGUUUACUCUGACUACAAGCAUGUAUAUAUACGUUUUCUUAAAAUUCUCUUUCACUUUAUCUUUUCAGUGGAUUAACCUGGAUUAAAAAGGAUUACUUUCAAAUAUGGAUUUACGUGCCUGGACAGUACCUUUGGCGACAAGCUGGUUUGUGGUUCUCAUGUUAUUAUUGGAUGUUUCAAUUGGAUCCACUGCAGAUUUGCACGCACCGUGUUACGCUUGUCGCAUAUUCAACAUCAUGCAGAGGGACAAUCCCAAACAUGACCCAAAGGU
Molecule: long non-coding RNA, 19573 nt
Filed under: Octopus vulgaris (common octopus)
Lineage: Eukaryota; Metazoa; Mollusca; Cephalopoda; Octopoda; Octopodidae
Source: RNAcentral